Long non-coding RNA from Acanthopagrus latus (yellowfin seabream), 4889 nucleotides. RefSeq lists it as uncharacterized. The transcript has 2 exons. Lineage: Eukaryota; Metazoa; Chordata; Actinopteri; Spariformes; Sparidae. The record is from RefSeq and is a predicted model, not a curated record.
UGUGUUUUAUUUGGGUUUCACACAGCAUCCAAAAUAACAGCAGAAAGUAUUUAUCCGUCAGUGAACACUACAGACAUGUCAGUGUCACCACCUACAAGCAUGUGGUGCUGCAGCUGCUGUUCUUUACAACUGUUUGUCUGUGGAAGACAAAAUGUCAUAUAAAUAUUGGAGAAAUUCCAAUCCUUGCCCAUUAAGCUUUAAAAUGUAUACAUUUUCAGUUCCAACUGCUGCUGCUGCUGUUUGUGCUGCUAAACGGUGCAGAACUACAUGUCAGACACCUCAAAUUUCAGGCCCACAGACGGAUUACGUCGGCAGGACGUUGUGCUCUGCGUAAAUGAAACCGGGUCCUCGUCAUCACAGCGCUACUCUCUCCCGAUUACUUUUCUCUCUUGUUUGUUUGUAUGACUGCCAGCCACUCUAAUGUUAUCUGAAAAGCAUACAGCGUAAAGCGUGGUAUACCUUUAACAGGAGACGCUAUCACAGGUUUUUCAUACGUGUGCAAACAAGCAUGCAUGCACACAUCUACAGCUCUUUUUUAGGUGGAUUUACAGUCUGUAAGCACAACAGACUGAAUGAACGUCAAGUUUACAGAGUAGUUUAGGCUAAGUGGGUGUACGUGGUAUGUGACAGUUUACGUACAACCAUAGCCAAAAAACCCAGAUGAAUGCUGGUUGGGUCAACUACCCACAAGUGGCCUUAACGACCCUGAAACUCAAAGUUCACACGUGUCCCUUGCGACUCUGUAAGGACACUCCCACACAGGGUCUAAAAGCCUGCAGCUCCCCUCCAGUUAGUUAGAACUGAAGAACCCUCUUGGAUGAGAGGUGAAACGCCUUCAAGACACUGAAACAAGUCCAGCUGCCUGCUAAAUGGCGCUUAAAACAUAGCCAAAAUGUAUAAUUGCCGAGAAAUCAACAUUCGAUUUCCAAGUAUUGGGUAAAAUUUGGUUGCUCCAUCUCUGAGGCUGUCUUCAUUGCACCGUGCAAACAGGAUCUGAACUGGCAAGCACUGUGAUCUCUGUGGCUUUGUAACAACUUGGAGGAGGGGAGGUGAGGGGGGAUGCUAAUCAUUGGCCAGUGGCUCGAUCACAAUUGGCUGCUCGAAAUCAUCCUGUUUGUGAAAGCCUCCCGGAGAAGCCGUGAGGCCAAUCAUCUCCUCCACUCCGAGACUGAGUCUGUCUGUUUGUGGUGCAUGAAAUGUGACUGUCAGGGUACGAACGCGUAUACGCACCCGUCUGCAGACACACACAGACGCGUCCACACACACACACACACACACACACACACACACACACUGAAGCUGGUAAUUGGGCUCAUAAAGCCAAAGGACAAGAGCAGCAAAAUCUCCCCUCCUGUCUUUGUGUGCAAGUGUUUAAGUGUGUGAGCGAGCAAGCGGUUUUUCUGUGUUGCAGUUCAAAUGCCCUGGCAUACUCUUACCCUCCUAAAACCAGGCAAUUUCCUGUGAGGCCAGCGGAGUGUGACAGCAGCAGGUGCCUAAUGGGCAAAGCUUAGGAAACAGGGCAUUACCAAAAUCCAGCAAACUCAAUUGUAUUAAUCCUCGGGAUUAGCAGCUUUAAUUCUCAACAGUUUAAAAAAAAAAAAGUCUUAUUUCCUUUCUGAAAAUGGGAGCAGCGUGUGAGGUGAAUAUUCAACUGUUUCAAAGAGUUUUCCUCCUUGUUAAACUUAAACUUUGGUCUGCUGCUGUAAUUCCACAUCUUGAUGUAGGGAUUCAAAAAAGGGGGGGGAGUUGAGCUUGAGAGGAAAAAAAUGACCACAAGCAGAGUCGUCAAAUCAGAGAAUCCUGUCAGGAGCUUCAAAUCUCUGUUGUACCUGUCAGCUCCACGAUGAGCACACUUUUUGCUAAUUAACGAUCAAUCCCUUGCUGAUAUCAAAGGCCCAUUAUCUUAACCCCACUCUACACAUCGCCCCCAAGACCACUGAAAACUGUCAGUUUUAAUCUCCCUCCCCGCCACCGUCCUCCCGUCUCUCUCUCAGACACACACACAGCUUUCAAAUAAGGGAUUUAGAUUACAGUGAACAGUGCUGGCUUCAUGAUGAUGAAGUGUGUGUACUCUGAGGGUGAGCCUUAUUGGAAUUCAUAUGAUGUUUGUCGGCUCCCUUCAUAUAAACAGGUGGCUGUGUGGAGAUAACGUACAGCAUAUUGUGCCGGCGAUGAUGCACCCGUACGCGCACGGUGUGCUCUCUGUGUGUGUGUGUGUGUGUGUGUGUGUGUGUGUGUGUGUGCGCGCUUCCUUUUUUAAUCCUAAAGCAGUCAGAGGGACAUUUAUUAAUCUCUCUAUUUCAGAAGAGGAGCGUCGCAGCCUUUCAGGUGUAUGAGCAGGGAUUCCUGAACAGAUGUCACCCUGUAGCCAACCAGUAUGCUGCGGCAACAACAAAACAAAAAAAAAACUGUUUUGCUUUGUUGCCGUUGCUUCAGAAAGGUGAAUAAUAAAAGGCUCAAUCUUUCUGCUCCACAUCCAUAUUCUCUAACUUCCAGACUAUUACCGUGGCUCAAUUUCACCAAUUUAGAUCACUCCAAAGGUCGCAGGGGCGGUUUGAAUGUGCCCGACACAGAAGAUGAGCACUGCUUUUGAAAAAGGUGUGUGGGGGGGUGUCCUUUGUUUCAUUUCAAAAUCAACCACAUGCGAUAGCAAGCCUGCGCCUUUAUUCAUCAGCAUCGUCAAGGUAACAAGAACCUGACUGUCACUGCAGAUGCAAAGUUCCUCUCAUUCUCCCUCUGUGUGUGUGUGUGUGUGUGUGUGGCUUCACUCCUCUCUUUGAUCCUAAUAAAAGAUGAGUUUCUUCGGUUUCCUCUGCUGACGUCUUGGCCGUCUUUCGCCACAGCACUACGACGACAUGCUGACCUUGCCACUUCACAUCCGGUGGCUAGUCAACCUCUGCAUUGAUCUCUUGUUUCAAAGGCUCAGAAACGCAGGCUGACAGGGCUGACAGAGCCAUUACACUUCAUCACGGCUAAAUCAAAUAGACUUCACAAAGUGCUGGAAUGAUUUAGGCCACUUGUUAAAGGUGCUUUAAAUAACACUUUCAUCUCGUCCCGUGACAAAGUAAUUCAAAGUUUAUCCGCAAAUGUGAUUGGGUAGUUAAAUAGAAGACGGUGCUGCAGUACAUGUCUAACUGUUGCACCCCAGGAUAUUUCCUCCACAUUACACGCUACCUCGCUCUAUUUAUGUCCCUUAAAAGCCACCGUGAGCUGUGCCAAAGACCGAGACGUGCAAGCUUCUUGGUCACUAAUUGACGUUUGGACACUAAGUUAUAAAUAACUAGACACUGCUUUAACAAUCUAUCCUCUCUUUGAAAGCUGCUAUGACUCACUCAGCCCACACAGUUUUUCAUUUGAAUGUUACAGUAAACCACUAAUAGCCCUCUUACUGUAUAAGGUCACAACAUCAUCGCCGGUUAUCAGCAGAGGACAGCUAAUUUAUACAGAGGAGGAGAGAAAAAUACAUUUUCUGUUUGUUUUUCAGAGAAAGUGAAAAUGCUUUUAGCGCUAUUAAAACAAACCUCUCUGUGAAGACAGGGACACAAUGUGUUUUUUGAUGCUUUAGUUUGUGCAUGAAUACCUUUGUUGUAUACAUUGUCCUCAAUAAUGUGUAUCAUUAUAUUUUAGCCGAAGGUCUGAAAAGGAUGAGUUCUGUGUCAUUUAAAACUUCUGGCUUAGCAACUGACUUCAAAGCACGGGCUGAGCGACCGCAUGCGUCAUCAAGACUGUCAGUCUCCAAAAUAACAAGGAGUGUGGUUGAGUUAGGAGACCAGUCAAUGCUGGCCUCAUUCAUCCUUUAAAGGGACUUGACUCACACUUGUCCUCAGAGACUUGAGAAGUGACCCUUUAAGACAACACUGUUGUAUGGACUCUGACAGCGAUCAGCCAAGAUUAUAUUUUUCUCUAAAAAAAAAAAUCAGAAUGGGAGCAACUCUAAAGUUUUGGCAGUAAUACUUUAGCAUUUAUAAGCGUGCCCUUCAGCAGCUUGCAGAAUAGUUUAAAGCAGACAUUAGACAUUAUUCCUGUGUAUUUAAAACUCUGAACUUCAGCCAGAAGUAAGUGUAACAUCGCUGUCACAGCAUCCAAAGGCAGUGAUGCCUUGAACGGUAGCAGUUUUUUUUUUGUUUUUUUUAAUGCACUCUCAAAACCAUGUUGAAUAAUUUAUUUUCCAGAAGGGGAUAACUAAUAUUGACAAAAGCAGUUCCAUUCAUUUUGAUUUUGACUUCAAAGUUGGUGACAAAAUAAUAUAAAGACAUAGGGUAUAGCACUGAAGACAGCCUCAGUCGACACUGACUAAUCAACAGCCAUGACCAGGUCCCAGGUGCAUUGAGCAGAAACUGCAGUCGCUAUUUUACAGGUGAGUUGCUCCAUUAAAGGGGAUGCUGCUGGCUGGCACCUUCUCCGGGCUAGUCACAAUUGUGUUGCCACAUCACUUGAAAAACAGACAUGGACCUUUAAUUGUGUAUUUACAUUUCAUACACUAUUUAGAGUUUUUAGAGAGUAGGUAAUUGAUGCACGUGACUGAACAACACUCCAAGCAAACACAUGGCUUUACUUCUGCCCUAUCCCAAAUUUUUUUUUUUAAAAAAAGGAGGCUCUUAAUUGGACUGGUUGGCAAUCAGUGCUAUAAAGAGUUCUUUUUUAGACCUUUAGUAUUUACAGGACGACUUUCUUUCUCUUUUCACUUGAUUAUUACCCCACACUGCAGACACCCAAUGCUCACAUGGCAGGCCUCUUUAAUGCCUGUGUUUUUGCAAUAUUAGUUGGUGCUGAAUUGGUGUCAUUUCAGCUCCCUCUUCUGUUCAUUUGCAUGCCCUUGUACUUUUUUUUAUUAUGUAUUUGUUAUGCAUCGCAAAUUCCAGAGAACUGAAUAAAAACUAUUAAUUCUG